Molecule: ribosomal RNA, 445 nt
Filed under: uncultured bacterium
Lineage: Bacteria
Description: bacterial SSU rRNA
Rfam family: Bacterial small subunit ribosomal RNA
Source: RNAcentral
CCAGACUCCUACGGGAGGCAGCAGUGGGGAAUAUUGCACAAUGGGGGAAACCCUGAUGCAGCGACGCCGCGUGGGUGAAGAAGUAUUUCGGUAUGUAAAGCUCUAUCAGCAGGGAAGAAAAUGACGGUACCUGACUAAGAGGCCCCGGCUAACUACGUGCCAGCAGCCGCGGUAAUACGUAGGGGGCAAGCGUUAUCCGGAUUUACUGGGUGUAAAGGGAGCGUAGACGGCAUGGCAAGUCAGAUGUGAAAGCCCGGGGCUCAACCCCGGGACUGCAUUUGAAACUGUCAGGCUGGAGUGCAGGAGAGGCAAGUGGAAUUCCUAGUGUAGCGGUGAAAUGCGUAGAUAUUAGGAGGAACACCAGUGGCGAAGGCGGCUUGCUGGACUGUAACUGACGUUGAGGCUCGAAAGCGUGGGGAGCAAACAGGAUUAGAUACCCCAGUAC